Molecule: long non-coding RNA, 949 nt
Filed under: Helianthus annuus (common sunflower)
Lineage: Eukaryota; Viridiplantae; Streptophyta; Magnoliopsida; Asterales; Asteraceae
Description: hypothetical non coding rna
Source: RNAcentral
UCUCAUCCCUUUCUCUCUCAUAACCAUCUCUCUCUAACCACCACUCUAGCACUACCAUCACCAGCACAACCACCACCAUAAACAACCCUCUUUUUCUCACCCACCACCGCUCUAGCCAUCACCACCUAACCACAACCACCACCCGGCCACCGCCACCCAUCCGCCGCCACCACCUCCCCUUUAACGGCUCCGCCAUCGCCUCCUAUAAACACCUCUGCCAUCGCCUCCCGUAAACACCUCUGCACCAGAACCUUCCCCACCACUACCACCCACCUGCCGCCGCCACCUACCCCUACCGCCUCCUUUAAACACCUCCGCUAUCACCACCAAGUGAACCUGAACAGAAGACUCGGCACUGAACACUGAAAAGAUCGAUGAACUUAGAAAGUUUGUCGAUAACAAAGAACUCCAAUCUGAAUGGAGGAAAGCUAAAAGGAAGAGAGAAUUGUGUCGUUUGGUGAAAUUAGGGAUCUAAAAGUAUUAUUUUAUUUUGUUAGGGUUAUAUUAAUUGUUUUGUUUUGUUCAAUUUUUUGGUAAAAUAGGGGAUCUGAAAAACAGAGAAACAAGAAGAUAGAAUUUUAGGUUGCGAUGGUGAUGGUGGUAGGGGAAAGCGGUGGUGGCCAGUGGUAGAGAGUUUUCAUGGUGGGUUUUCGGAUUUGAGAGGUUUUCAUGGUGUUUGUGGUGGCAGGUGGAUAGUGGUGUUGGUGGUUGCAGGUGGGGUGGUGGUGGCAGGUGGGUGGUGGUGACAGUGUUUGUGGUGGUGUCAGGUGCGUGUUGCUGACGGUGGUUGUGGUGGUGACCGGUGGGAGUAGGUGGGGGUGAAAAGGAAGUUAGAGAGAGAGAUAGAAGUGAGAUACAUGGAGAGAAUUAUGUGUGUAUACAUGUACAAAUGUAUAAUCUUUUUUAAACAUAAUUAAUGUAUUUAUGAUUUUUUUAUGAUUAUUUAUUU